AUGAACGCUGGCGGCGUGCCUAAUACAUGCAAGUCGAGCGAACAGACGAGGAGCUUGCUCCUCUGACGUUAGCGGCGGACGGGUGAGUAACACGUGGAUAACCUACCUAUAAGACUGGGAUAACUUCGGGAAACCGGAGCUAAUACCGGAUAAUAUAUUGAACCGCAUGGUUCAAUAGUGAAAGACGGUUUUGCUGUCACUUAUAGAUGGAUCCGCGCCGCAUUAGCUAGUUGGUAAGGUAACGGCUUACCAAGGCGACGAUGCGUAGCCGACCUGAGAGGGUGAUCGGCCACACUGGAACUGAGACACGGUCCAGACUCCUACGGGAGGCAGCAGUAGGGAAUCUUCCGCAAUGGGCGAAAGCCUGACGGAGCAACGCCGCGUGAGUGAUGAAGGUCUUCGGAUCGUAAAACUCUGUUAUUAGGGAAGAACAAAUGUGUAAGAAACUAUGCACGUCUUGACGGUACCUAAUCAGAAAGCCACGGCUAACUACGUG
Molecule: ribosomal RNA, 496 nt
Filed under: uncultured bacterium
Lineage: Bacteria
Description: partial 16S ribosomal RNA
Rfam family: Bacterial small subunit ribosomal RNA
Source: RNAcentral